This 63-nucleotide transfer RNA is filed under the name Heterocephalus glaber (naked mole-rat). It matches the Rfam family "tRNA". Rfam says of the family: Transfer RNA (tRNA) molecules are approximately 80 nucleotides in length. Their secondary structure includes four short double-helical elements and three loops (D, anti-codon, and T loops). Further hydrogen bonds mediate the characteristic L-shaped molecular structure. tRNAs have two regions of fundamental functional importance: the anti-codon, which is responsible for specific mRNA codon recognition, and the 3' end, to which the tRNAs corresponding amino acid is attached (by aminoacyl-tRNA synthetases). tRNAs cope with the degeneracy of the genetic code in two manners: having more than one tRNA (with a specific anti-codon) for a particular amino acid; and 'wobble' base-pairing, i.e. permitting non-standard base-pairing at the 3rd anti-codon position. Lineage: Eukaryota; Metazoa; Chordata; Mammalia; Rodentia; Bathyergidae. The record is from Rfam by way of RNAcentral.
AGGGAUGUAGCUCAGUGGUAGAGCACUUGACUAGCAUUUGUGAGGCUGUGAACUCCAUUCCUA